GGACUACAAGGGUAUCUAAUCCUGUUCGCUCCCCUGGCUUUCGCGCCUCAGCGUCAGAUACCAGCCAGGACACUGCCUUCGCCUUUGGUCUUCCUCCGGAUCUCUACGCAUUUCACCACUCCACCCGGAAUUCGAUGUCCCUCUCUGGUCCUCAAGUUCAGCCGUCUUUGAAGGCCUUGGUCAGUUGAGCCGACCACUGUCACUCCAAACGCGCUGUACCGCCUGCACGCCCUUUACGCCCAGUAACUCCGGACAACGCUCGCCCCCUACGUAUUACCGCGGCUGCUGGCAC
Molecule: ribosomal RNA, 292 nt
Filed under: uncultured bacterium
Lineage: Bacteria
Description: partial 16S ribosomal RNA
Source: RNAcentral